AUUGAACGCUGGCGGCAUGCUUUACACAUGCAAGUCGAACGGCAGCGCGGGCUUCGGCCUGGCGGCGAGUGGCGAACGGGUGAGUAAUACAUCGGAACGUGCCCAGUAGUGGGGGAUAGCGCGGCGAAAGCCGGAUUAAUACCGCAUACGACCUGAGGGUGAAAGCGGGGGAUCUUCGGACCUCGCGCUAUUUGAGCGGCCGAUGGCAGAUUAGCUAGUUGGUGGGGUAAAGGCCUACCAAGGCGACGAUCUGUAGCUGGUCUGAGAGGACGACCAGCCACUCUGGGACUGAGACACGGCCCAGACUCCUACGGGAGGCAGCAGUGGGGAAUUUUGGACAAUGGGCGAAAGCCUGAUCCAGCAAUGCCGCGUGUGUGAUGAAGGCCUUCGGGUUGUAAAGCACUUUUGGCGGGAACGAAAAGGACUGUGCCAAUACCACGGUUCGAUGACGGUACCCGCAGAAUAAGCACCGGCUAACUACGUG
RNAcentral lists this ribosomal RNA (484 nucleotides) under uncultured bacterium. RNAcentral's name for it is "partial 16S ribosomal RNA". It matches the Rfam family "Bacterial small subunit ribosomal RNA", at positions 29 to 507 of the family's 1533-position model. The record is from RNAcentral.